This is a non-coding RNA of Halocaridina rubra (Hawaiian volcano shrimp), 82 nucleotides long. Lineage: Eukaryota; Metazoa; Arthropoda; Malacostraca; Decapoda; Atyidae. The record is from the annotation of a GenBank genome assembly.
GGCCGUGAUGGCUCAGUGGUAGAGCUCUUGCUUCGGGUAGUGAUGAGUCUGACCAACGCUGGUUCGAUCCCGCCGGGGGCCC